RNAcentral lists this ribosomal RNA (497 nucleotides) under uncultured bacterium. RNAcentral describes it as "partial 16S ribosomal RNA". It matches the Rfam family "Bacterial small subunit ribosomal RNA", at positions 28 to 507 of the family's 1533-position model. The record is from RNAcentral.
GAUGAACGCUGGCGGCGUGCCUAAUACAUGCAAGUCGAGCGAACAGACGAGGAGCUUGCUCCUCUGACGUUAGCGGCGGACGGGUGAGUAACACGUGGAUAUCCUACCUAUAAGACUGGGAUAACUUCGGGAAACCGGAGCUAAUACCGGAUAAUAUAUUGAACCGCAUGGUUCAAUAGUGAAAGACGGUUUUGCUGUCACUUAUAGAUGGAUCCGCGCCGCAUUAGCUAGUUGGUAAGGUAACGGCUUACCAAGGCAACGAUGCGUAGCCGACCUGAGAGGGUGAUCGGCCACACUGGAACUGAGACACGGUCCAGACUCCUACGGGAGGCAGCAGUAGGGAAUCUUCCGCAAUGGGCGAAAGCCUGACGGAGCAACGCCGCGUGAGUGAUGAAGGUUUUCGGAUCGUAAAACUCUGUUAUUAGGGAAGAACAAAUGUGUAAGUAACUAUGCACGUCUUGACGGUACCUAAUCAGAAAGCCACGGCUAACUACGUG